RNAcentral lists this ribosomal RNA (259 nucleotides) under uncultured archaeon. RNAcentral describes it as "partial 16S ribosomal RNA". It matches the Rfam family "Archaeal small subunit ribosomal RNA", at positions 721 to 982 of the family's 1478-position model. The record is from RNAcentral.
CACUGACAUUAGAUACCCCGGUAGUCCCAGCCGUAAACUAUGCGCGUUAGGUGUACUGGUGACCACGAGUCACCGGGUGCCGAAGGGAAACCGUGAAACGUGCCGCCUGGGAAGUACGGUCGCAAGGCUGAAACUUAAAGGAAUUGGCGGGAGCACCACAACGGGUGGAGCCUGCGGUUUAAUUGGACUCAACGCCGGAAAUCUCACCGGAUAGGACAGACAUAUGAUAGUCGGGCUGAAGACUCUACUUGAUGAUCUG